RNAcentral lists this ribosomal RNA (253 nucleotides) under uncultured bacterium. RNAcentral describes it as "partial 16S ribosomal RNA". It matches the Rfam family "Bacterial small subunit ribosomal RNA", at positions 524 to 776 of the family's 1533-position model. The record is from RNAcentral.
UACGAAGGGGCUAGCGUUGCUCGGAAUUACUGGGCGUAAAGCGCACGUAGGCGGCUUUCUAAGUCGGGGGUGAAAUCCUGGAGCUCAACUCCAGAACUGCCCUUCGAUACUGGAGAGCUCGAGUCCGGGAGAGGUGAGUGGAACUGCGAGUGUAGAGGUGAAAUUCGUAGAUAUUCGCAAGAACACCAGUGGCGAAGGCGGCUCACUGGCCCGGUACUGACGCUGAGGUGCGAAAGCGUGGGGAGCAACAGGG